RNAcentral lists this non-coding RNA (336 nucleotides) under Dickeya dadantii 3937. RNAcentral's name for it is "Soft rot Enterobacteriaceae Rev 44 asRNA". It matches the Rfam family "Soft rot Enterobacteriaceae Rev 44 asRNA". Rfam says of the family: From bacteria cultured under starvation conditions. Antisense to ECA0910. The record is from Rfam by way of RNAcentral. Lineage: Bacteria; Pseudomonadati; Pseudomonadota; Gammaproteobacteria; Enterobacterales; Pectobacteriaceae.
CCGUCGUUGACGAAGUGCUUGCGGGCGUCUUCGUCAAAUACCGAAUACAUCACCCCACCGGCUUUGGCCAGCGCGUUGCCGGCGUGCGGCCAGAUGAUGACGAUGGAUUCGUCGGUGAAACGGCGGCCGUGUUGAUCUACCCACAGAUAAGGCUGACGAGCGGCGGCCAGCAACUGAGAGUUAGGCGCAUAGUCCGGCAGGCCGGGGCGGUAGGACUGUACGACGCCCAUGCCUUCCUCUUUGGCCCCGGCUUUCCACGCCAUUUUGAUGCCGUCGCCGUCUUUACCGACGUUGCCCACCAUGAUGGUGUCCGGCACCGCCACGUAUUUUUGCAGC